This is a long non-coding RNA of Trachemys scripta elegans, 215 nucleotides long. RefSeq lists it as uncharacterized. The transcript is spliced from 2 exons. The record is from RefSeq and is a predicted model, not a curated record. Lineage: Eukaryota; Metazoa; Chordata; Testudines; Emydidae.
GGUCAGUCUUGGCUUUGGCAUUCUCGCGGAAGGUCAGCUUGUGAGACUCGAUCUGCACAAAGAAAAGGCGCAGGGUGGAGAAAUCAGUGGGGCGCAAAAGGGCGUCAGCAACAAAAUGAACUGAAUUAAAACCGACAGCAAAGAAAUGGGAAGGGAGGAACAGGUCUGCAAAACGCAUCGAAGGAGAGAGGGAAAAUUCACGGAGCCCAUAGAGA